AGUGAACGCUGGCGGUAGGCCUAACACAUGCAAGUCGAACGGCAGCACAGUAAGAGCUUGCUCUUACGGGUGGCGAGUGGCGGACGGGUGAGGAAUACAUCGGAAUCUACUUUUUCGUGGGGGAUAACGUAGGGAAACUUACGCUAAUACCGCAUACGACCUACGGGUGAAAGCAGGGGAUCUUCGGACCUUGCGCGAUUGAAUGAGCCGAUGUCGGAUUAGCUAGUUGGCGGGGUAAAGGCCCACCAAGGCGACGAUCCGUAGCUGGUCUGAGAGGAUGAUCAGCCACACUGGAACUGAGACACGGUCCAGACUCCUACGGGAGGCAGCAGUGGGGAAUAUUGGACAAUGGGCGCAAGCCUGAUCCAGCCAUACCGCGUGGGUGAAGAAGGCCUUCGGGUUGUAAAGCCCUCUUUGUUGGGAAAGAAAAGCAGCAGGUUAAUACCCCGCUGUUCUGACGGUACCCAAAGAAUAAGCACCGGCUAACUUCGUG
Molecule: ribosomal RNA, 493 nt
Filed under: uncultured bacterium
Lineage: Bacteria
Description: partial 16S ribosomal RNA
Rfam family: Bacterial small subunit ribosomal RNA
Source: RNAcentral